CGUAGCGCUUCGCUAGCGCCGCCGCUGCUGCGGAGGCUGUGUGUGAAGUUGAAGCGGCCGGGGCGCUCGUACCUAAGGUGCCAGGAUUCUCCAAGGAACUAAAAUAAAUAAAAAGGAAAACACAAUUUUGAUGUGCUCCAUCUGCUGUGAUUUCAACAGAUGCUCCAAGUAGAUGCUCUGAGAAUAGGACCCAAAAAGUAAGCGCCAAACCUCCCUUCUCCAGAAAAUUAACUCUGCGCACCUCCAGCCCACUAGCACCUUCCCAGCCAGUAUUUAUCUCUAACCACACUUUUGAAGAAUCACGCCGCACAUAUUAGGUUUGAAGAAAAGAAGAGAGAGACUUCACCUUAAAUGCAUAGCCUUGACCUGUGUCAGGGCAGCACCAGAGUACUGCCAUUUCGAUGGCACCUAAAACCACGUGGGCAUGAUGAUGCUUUUUUCUGAGCCAUCCUCCGAAAGUGAUUUUUGAGAAAGGAAAAUGAGACAGCUGGAUCACAACAUUAUAAAUGAAGAUCUGUGUCAAUGUUGUGGUUCACGGUCAGCUGCUUUCCCUUUGUCUCUCGGAAUAAAAACCCGUGCUGGGAAGAAAUCUACAAAAGGCAGGCACUGAAGUGAGGACGAGUGGACAUGGAAGGUCUCCAUGAGCCCAGUGAGGUGGGGAGAUGACGAGACAGUUUAGAGGCAAACCUGGGGGUCUCUGAUUCCACGACACUCUGCGCCAUGCCUGAGAAUGGAAGCUUUCCUUCCCAUGGGGUGAUGAUGAGAACUGUAAAGUUUUAGAAGAACAAAAGCAUACUCUCUGACGUGUACCUUCACGCCUGGUAAAAGGAAAAAGAGCUGACAGACCCCCAUCUCUGAGUCUGCUCACACAGGCACUGCAAGACCUCUGGUGGCCAGUGAGUGCGUGGGGCCUAUGCCAUGGCUUUGUCGUCUGUAAAAUAAUGGUGUAUGAAACUAAGCCUACAGUCAGCCUCAAAUCUGGCACAGCAAUUUCUGACUUUGACCUUUUUUCAAAUACGUGUCUAUGUGAAUAACAACUAUCUGAAAGGUUUUUUUUGUUGUGGAAAACUGGGAUAAGCCGCUUUGUUGCCUUGUGCCCUGGCUGUUAGGAUGUCGAAUCAACAUUUUAUCAUUAUCAAGUCCUGCUGUCAUUCUCCAAAAGGCUGUCCUCCCAAACCAUUAGUAAUGAUUUGACAGAUAAAGUAUUAAUAUGACAUGGUAAAAUGCUUGUUUCUGUCUACAAAUAUAAAAUUUGAUAUUAUAAUGAUAUAUUGGAUCUCUUUCUUUGUAGGACACGUAGAGAUUACCAUUUCCAAAAUCUAGUAGGGACCUUAUCACAUUUAAGCAAAGCUGUUUUUAGUUCUACUUAGAAAAUAGUAUGCUUUAUAUGAGAUCUCAAGCCACUCCUUUAGCAUUUACACAAUUACGUUCUCUCUUAAUGCUUUUUCUUUGGCUGAUGAGAGAAGAUUGGUGCUGACAUACAUACUUCCCACAAUUUCUAAAUGUAAAUUGUCACUUGCAGUCAAUGGCAAACACUUACCCAUUGGGCUUGCAAUAAUGAAAAUAAAGUUUAUUAUCUUAUGUGCUAUCCUUAUUCAAAGAUGAUUCAGCCAUCCAUAUAUUUGAGAACUGCUCUUACUUAUCAGUAUAAUGUUUUAGGAGAGUAGAAUUGUAUGUGAAUUCUGUUUCUGAUUCCCUGUA
Molecule: non-coding RNA, 1701 nt
Organism: Leptonychotes weddellii (Weddell seal)
Lineage: Eukaryota; Metazoa; Chordata; Mammalia; Carnivora; Phocidae
Source: RefSeq, a predicted model, not a curated record